Molecule: non-coding RNA, 73 nt
Organism: Omnitrophica WOR_2 bacterium
Lineage: Bacteria; Pseudomonadati; Candidatus Omnitrophota
Source: Rfam
GGGCCAUUAGCUCACAUGGUAGAGCAACUGACUCUUAAUCAGUGGGUAGCAGGUUCGAUUCCUGCAUGGCCCA